AAGCAACGCGAAGAACCUUACCAGGCCUUGACAUGCAGAGAACUUUCCAGAGAUGGAUUGGUUGCCUUCGGGAACUCUGACACAGGUGCUGCAUGGCUGUCGUCAGCUCGUUGUCGUGAGAUGUUCGGGUUAAGUCCCGUAACGAGCGCAACCCUUGUCCUUAGUUUACCAGCACGUUAUGGUGGGCACUCUAAGGAGACUGCCGGUGACAAACCGGAGGAAGGUGGAGAUGACGUCAAGUCAUCAUGGCCCUUACGGCCUGGGCUACACACGUGCUACAAUGGUCGGUACAAAGGGUUGCCAAGCCGCGAGGUGGAGCUAAUCCCAUAAAACCGAUCGUAGUCCGGAUCGCAGUCUGCAACUCGACUGCGUGAAGUCGGAAUCGCUAGUAAUCGUGAAUCAGAAUGUCACGGUGAAUACGUUCCCGGGCCUU
RNAcentral lists this ribosomal RNA (433 nucleotides) under uncultured Pseudomonas sp. RNAcentral's name for it is "bacterial SSU rRNA". It matches the Rfam family "Bacterial small subunit ribosomal RNA", at positions 954 to 1382 of the family's 1533-position model. The record is from RNAcentral. Lineage: Bacteria; Pseudomonadati; Pseudomonadota; Gammaproteobacteria; Pseudomonadales; Pseudomonadaceae.